This 517-nucleotide ribosomal RNA is filed under the name Schistocerca lineata (birdwing grasshopper). Its description in RNAcentral is "partial 12S ribosomal RNA". It matches the Rfam family "Microsporidia small subunit ribosomal RNA", at positions 638 to 1311 of the family's 1311-position model. The record is from RNAcentral. Lineage: Eukaryota; Metazoa; Arthropoda; Insecta; Orthoptera; Acrididae.
AAAUUUAAAUAAUAAACUAGGAUUAGAUACCCUAUUAUUUUAAAUGUUAAUUAUAUUUACCAGGGUACUAUUAGUUAAGGUCUUUAAACCCAAAGAAUUUGGCGGUAUCUCAUUCCAUUCAGAGGAACCUACCCCGUGAUUGAUAAUACACGAUUUACUCUACUUAAUUUAUUUGUUUGUAUAUCUCCGUUAUCAGAGAAUCUUUUUAGAGUUAUAAUUCUCAAGAUUUAUAAUUAUAAAAUAUUUCAGGUCAAGGUGCAGCUUAUAGUUAAGAGGAGGUGGGUUACAAUAGGUUUUUGUUUAUAACGGAUUUGAUGGUGAAAUACUAUUAAUGAAGGUGGAUUUGAUAGUAAUUUAAUUUAUUUAAUUUAACUGAUACUGGCUCUGAGGUGUGUACACAUCGCCCGUCGCUCUCAUUAUUGAUUAUUCUAUUUUAUUAUUUUAAGGUAGCUUCAAUUAUAGAUGAGAUAAGUCGUAACAUAGUAGAUGUACUGGAAAGUGUAUCUAGUAAGAGUUU